UAAGGAAUAUUGCGCAAUGGACGAAAGUCUGACGCAGCGACGCCGCGUGGGGGAUGAAGGUCUUCGGAUUGUAAACCCCUUUCGGGAGGGAAGAAGCGAAAGUGACGGUACCUGCAGAAGAAGCGCCGGCUAACUACGUGC
RNAcentral lists this ribosomal RNA (141 nucleotides) under uncultured bacterium. Its description in RNAcentral is "partial 16S ribosomal RNA". It matches the Rfam family "Bacterial small subunit ribosomal RNA", at positions 355 to 508 of the family's 1533-position model. The record is from RNAcentral.